RNAcentral lists this ribosomal RNA (309 nucleotides) under uncultured fungus. RNAcentral's name for it is "SSU rRNA". It matches the Rfam family "Eukaryotic small subunit ribosomal RNA", at positions 39 to 352 of the family's 1831-position model. Lineage: Eukaryota; Fungi. The record is from RNAcentral.
AAAGAUUAAGCCAUGCAUGUCUAAGUAUAAGCAAUCUAUACAGUGAAACUGCGAAUGGCUCAUUAAAUCAGUUAUCGUUUAUUUGAUAGUACCUUACUACUUGGAUAACCGUGGUAAUUCUAGAGCUAAUACAUGCUAAAAAUCCCGACCUCUGGAAGGGAUGUAUUUAUUAGAUAAAAAACCAAUGCCUUCGGGCUCCUUGGUGAUUCAUGAUAACUUUACGAAUCGCACGGCCUUGUGCCGGCGAUGGUUCAUUCAAAUUUCUGCCCUAUCAACUUUCGAUGGUAGGAUAGUGGCCUACCAUGGUUU